UCGUGAUUAACCUGCCCUUGACUCUGGGAUAAGCCUGGGAAACUGGGUCUAAUACUGGAUACGACCUUCUGGCGCAUGCCAUGUGGGUGGAAAGCUUUUGUGGUUUUGGAUGGACUCGCGGCCUAUCAGCUUGUUGGUGGGGUAAUGGCCUACCAAGGCGACGACGGGUAGCCGGCCUGAGAGGGUGGACGGCCACACUGGGACUGAGACACGGCCCAGACUCCUACGGGAGGCAGCAGUGGGGAAUAUUGCACAAUGGGCGCAAGCCUGAUGCAGCGACGCCGCGUGAGGGAUGAAGGCCUUCGGGUUGUAAACCUCUUUCAGUAGGGAAGAAGCGAAAGUGACGGUACCUGCAGAAGAAGCGCCGGCUAACUACGUGCCAGCAGCCGCGGUAAUACGUAGGGCGCAAGCGUUAUCCGGAAUUAUUGGGCGUAAAGAGCUCGUAGGCGGUUUGUCGCGUCUGCCGUGAAAGUCCGGGGCUUAACUCCGGAUCUGCGGUGGGUACGGGCAGACUUGAGUGAUGUAGGGGAGACUGGAAUUCCUGGUGUAGCGGUGAAAUGCGCAGAUAUCAGGAGGAACACCGAUGGCGAAGGCAGGUCUCUGGGCAUUAACUGACGCUGAGGAGCGAAAGCAUGGGGAGCGAACAGGAUUAGAUACCCUGGUAGUCCAUGCCGUAAACGUUGGGCACUAGGUGUGGGGGACAUUCCACGUUUUCCGCGCCGUAGCUAACGCAUUAAGUGCCCCGCCUGGGGAGUACGGCCGCAAGGCUAAAACUCAAAGGAAUUGACGGGGGGCCCGCACAAGCGGCGGAGCAUGCGGAUUAAUUCGAUGCAACGCGAAGAACCUUACCAAAGGCUUGACAUGAACCGGAACGGCGCAGAGAUGUGUCGGCCACUUGUGGCCGGUUUACAGGUGGUGCAUGGUUGUCGUCAGCUCGUGUCGUGAGAUGUUGGGUUAAGUCCCGCAACGAGCGCAACCCUCGUUCCAUGUUGCCAGCGGUU
This 1001-nucleotide ribosomal RNA is filed under the name Arthrobacter subterraneus. Its description in RNAcentral is "bacterial SSU rRNA". It matches the Rfam family "Bacterial small subunit ribosomal RNA", at positions 115 to 1126 of the family's 1533-position model. Lineage: Bacteria; Bacillati; Actinomycetota; Actinomycetes; Micrococcales; Micrococcaceae. The record is from RNAcentral.